UACGUAGGGGGCUAGCGUUGUCCGGAAUCAUUGGGCGUAAAGAGCGUGUAGGCGGUCCGGUAAGUCUGCUGUGAAAGUCGGGGGCUCAACCCUCGAAUGCCGGUGGAUACUGUCGGGCUAGAGUGCGGAAGAGGCGAGUGGAAUUCCUGGUGUAGCGGUGAAAUGCGCAGAUAUCAGGAGGAACACCUAUUGCGAAGGCAGCUCGCUGGGACGUUACUGACGCUGAGACGCGAAAGCGUGGGGAGCGAUCCGG
This 253-nucleotide ribosomal RNA is filed under the name uncultured bacterium. RNAcentral's name for it is "partial 16S ribosomal RNA". It matches the Rfam family "Bacterial small subunit ribosomal RNA", at positions 524 to 776 of the family's 1533-position model. The record is from RNAcentral.